Molecule: ribosomal RNA, 484 nt
Filed under: uncultured bacterium
Lineage: Bacteria
Description: partial 16S ribosomal RNA
Rfam family: Bacterial small subunit ribosomal RNA
Source: RNAcentral
AUUGAACGCUGGCGGCAGGCCUAACACAUGCAAGUCGAGCGGAUGAAGGGAGCUUGCUCCUGGAUUCAGCGGCGGACGGGUGAGUAAUGCCUAGGAAUCUGCCUGGUAGUGGGGGAUAACGUCCGGAAACGGGCGCUAAUACCGCAUACGUCCUGAUGGAGCAAGUUGGGGAUCUUCGGACCUCUCGCUAUCAGAUGAGCCUAGGUCGGAUUAGCUAGUUGGUGGGGUAAAGGCCUACCAAGGCGACGAUCCGUAACUGGUCUGAGAGGAUGAUCAGUCACACUGGAACUGAGACACGGUCCAGACUCCUACGGGAGGCAGCAGUGGGGAAUAUUGGACAAUGGGCGGAAGCCUGAUCCAGCCAUGCCGAGUGUGUGAAGAAGGUCUUCGGAUUGUAAAGCACUUUAAGGUGGGAGGAAGGGCAGUAAGUUAAUACCUUGCUGUUUUGACGUUACCAACAGAAUAAGCACCGGCUAACUUCGUG